RNAcentral lists this unclassified non-coding RNA (314 nucleotides) under plant metagenome. Its description in RNAcentral is "partial contains 5.8S ribosomal RNA, internal transcribed spacer 2, and large subunit ribosomal RNA". The stretch from base 1 to 105 matches the Rfam family "5.8S ribosomal RNA", at positions 50 to 154 of the family's 154-position model. The record is from RNAcentral.
GAAAUGCGAUAAUUAAUGUGAAUUGCAGAAUUCAGUGAAUCAUCGAGUCUUUGAACGCACAUUGCGCCCCCUGGUAUUCCGGGGGGCAUGCCUGUCCGAGCGUCAUUGCUGCCCUCAAGCACGGCUUGUGUGUUGGGCUUCCGUCCCUGGCAACGGGGACGGGCCCAAAAGGCAGUGGCGGCACCAUGUCUGGUCCUCGAGCGUAUGGGGCUUUGUCACCCGCUCCCGUAGGUCCAGCUGGCCGCUAGCCUCGCAACCAAUCUUUUUAACCAGGUUGACCUCGGAUCAGGUAGGGAUACCCGCUGAACUUAAGC